This 372-nucleotide long non-coding RNA is filed under the name Homo sapiens (human). RNAcentral describes it as "non-protein coding lnc-COPZ1-3:2". The record is from RNAcentral. Lineage: Eukaryota; Metazoa; Chordata; Mammalia; Primates; Hominidae.
AUAGCAGGUGGAACCCUAACUAUUGAGGGAGUUUGCAGAUACCUCAGGAUUCGUGACAAUGCCUUUAAAGAUCCAGGAGAGAUGUUCAGCUACUAGGAACUGCUAGCAAGUAUAGCGCGAAUGGCUCCGAGCUCAGACACUCUACAGCUGAGAGUAGACACUUGUGGGAGGAGUCUGCUACUAGUCUUAUCAGCUCUUAAAAACAGAAACUCAUCUGUCCAAGUUCGUGGCAGAAAGGAACGUCCUUGUGAAGACCUUUAUCUGAGCCACUGUACUUCGUUAUCACUGCCAUGCAGUUUACAUGAGCUGUUCUGCAGCUCAAAUUCCAUUUUGUGAAUGGGUUUUUUUUUUUAAUAAACUGUAUUUAACUUA